AUGCAUUGACAAUCUUGGGAUAAGAUGUGCAUGGAAAAGUCACAAGGAGGAAUGGUAUUCCGAGACUUGGAAACUUUCAAUGAUGCGAUGCUAGCAAAACAAACAUGGUGGUUACUUGAGAAUCCUAAUAGCUUGUGUGCACGUGUGCUUAAAGCACGGUACUUCCCUAACGAGGAUUUUCUAACGGCGGGCUGCCCCGCUAGUGCCUCCAAGACAUGGAAAGCAAUUGUUAACAGGAGAGAGAUGUUGAAGAGGGGACUCAUCCGUCCGAUUGGUAAUGGAGAUACCACCGAAGUGUGGCAUGAUCAAUGGAUAGAUGGCACCAUAUCAAUGAAACCGAUGGGAGCUCUCAAGCCAAACUCAAUAUAA
RNAcentral lists this ribosomal RNA (369 nucleotides) under Triticum aestivum (bread wheat). RNAcentral describes it as "partial small subunit ribosomal RNA". Lineage: Eukaryota; Viridiplantae; Streptophyta; Magnoliopsida; Poales; Poaceae. The record is from RNAcentral.